Molecule: long non-coding RNA, 163 nt
Organism: Etheostoma cragini (Arkansas darter)
Lineage: Eukaryota; Metazoa; Chordata; Actinopteri; Perciformes; Percidae
Exons: 3
Source: RefSeq, a predicted model, not a curated record
CUGCUGCAUCUCUUUAAUCAGAAUCAGUUUCAUUGGCCAAGUAUACUUACAUGCACAAGGAAUUUGACUUCGGAAGGUGUUAACUCUCUAUACAUUCAACAAAUAGACAUGUAGUGGUAAACAUUCAGUAGACAAAUAGUAAUAUAGAUACAUACUGUACAAU